RNAcentral lists this ribosomal RNA (495 nucleotides) under uncultured bacterium. RNAcentral describes it as "partial 16S ribosomal RNA". It matches the Rfam family "Bacterial small subunit ribosomal RNA", at positions 29 to 507 of the family's 1533-position model. The record is from RNAcentral.
AUGAACGCUGGCGGCGUGCCUAAUACAUGCAAGUCGAGCGAACAGACGAGGAGCUUGCUCCUCUGACGUUAGCGGCGGACGGGUGAGUAACACGUGGAUAACCUACCUAUAAUACUGGGAUAACUUCGGGAAACCGGAGCUAAUACCGGAUAAUAUAUUGAACCGCAUGGUUCAAUAGUGAAAGACGGUUUUGCUGUCACUUAUAGAUGGCUCCGCGCCGCAUUAGCUAGUUGGUAAGGUAACGGCUUACCAAGGCAACGAUGCGUAGCCGACCUGAGAGGGUGAUCGGCCACACUGGAACUGAGACACGGUCCAGAGUCCUACGGGAGGCAGCAGUAGGGAAGCUUCCGCAAUGGGCGAAAGCUUGACGGAGCAACGGCGCGUGAGUGAUGAAGGUCUGCGGAUCGUAAACUCUGUUAUUAGGGAAGAACAAAUGUGUAAGUAACUAUGCACGUCUUGACGGUACCUAAUCAGAAAGCCACGGCUAACUACGUG